Molecule: non-coding RNA, 791 nt
Filed under: Pongo abelii (Sumatran orangutan)
Lineage: Eukaryota; Metazoa; Chordata; Mammalia; Primates; Hominidae
Source: RNAcentral
UCAAAAACCUGGUGUCAUAGUGUUGGCUUCUAGUGCAGUGAGCCCCUUUUGCUGCAUAACACUACCUGGUAAUUUGACAUACCAGGUGGUUAGUAACUACUGACUGCCUCCAGGUUGCAACACAAUUAUUACCCACUUGGGUGAAAAGAGAAGACAGGAAAUAAAUAUUGGAGUCGGCUGGCAACCUGUUUACAAAGCAAUUUACAACAGUUCCUUAUUCUUAAGGGGUUAUUCUAAUGUAAGACCUCAGAGAAACAGUGCAGUGUGACAAAGGAGGAAUUUAUCAAAGGAGACAGAAAAAGCAUCAAGGCAAGCUGUGAAAUGGUGCAGUAGGAACCAAAUAGAGAGCCAAAGGAUCUCUCUGUCACUGCAGGCCCUUAGGGUGCACAUCUAUCCUUUUUCCAGACGUGGAUCUUUUACCCAUGGGAUCAUUAUCCCAUCUCUGGGCCUCUCUGAACAAAACUAAUUCACUGAGCAUGAAUUGAUCACUACUGACUCAAUCUUUUGUAGUUCAGGAAGGAUGCUCUACCUGUGAAAAAAGCAUCCAGAUCUUCUUGCAAAGGGAGUUUUGAGGAUCCCUGCACAGAGAAUGGGUCUGGAGUGGGCUGAGACUGUAGACAAGACUCAGAGGCUGGGGCUCUUUUCACAGGGGAGGGAUUUGGUGCCAGCAGUUAAAUCCAUUGUGCCCUAUUUAGAGCUUCACUCUUGUCCCAAACAUUGACAGAGUCAUCACUAUGCACCAGGGACCAUCUUAAGCUCUGAGGUCACACACACACACACAAGGAUCCAAU